UAACUUCGGAAACCGGAGCUAAUACCGGAUAAUAUAUUGAACCGCAUGGUUCAAUAGUGAAAGACGGUUUUGUCUGUCACUUAUAGAUGGAUCCGCGCUGCAUUAGCUAGUUGGUAAGGUAACGGCUUACCAAGGCAACGAUGCGUAGCCGACCUGAGAGGGUGAUCGGCCACACUGGAACUGAGACACGGUCCAGACUCCUACGGGAGGCAGCAGAG
Molecule: ribosomal RNA, 218 nt
Filed under: uncultured Staphylococcus sp.
Lineage: Bacteria; Bacillati; Bacillota; Bacilli; Caryophanales; Staphylococcaceae
Description: partial 16S ribosomal RNA
Rfam family: Bacterial small subunit ribosomal RNA
Source: RNAcentral